CUCAUUUUUUCUUGAGCCACAAGCAUGUCUGCAAGAAAAAUGUCAUCUUACCUUUCUCUCGUUGAGCAGGCAUUUCAACUCUACUAAGUUAGGAAAAUAAGUGAAAAAGACCAAACAAUUGAUCCAGGGCAGGCAAAGGCUCUUCCAUGCUCACGAACAAGAGAGUGUAAGGUGAAGAUAAGGGUUAUUUGAAAUCAGCAAAGCUUCCAGAAGAGCUUGUGGAAGAUAGACUGAGAGAGAAAGAAAGGAGAAUAAUUUCUGAUCAUUCUUUUUCAUGUCCACAGGCCUCAACAUCCAGGGAGAAACCCAUGACAGCACGGAGGACUCAUGCACGGCCCUGAAGCUUUACAGGAAGUUCCUGGAACUGUUUCAGGAAGGAGAGAAUCAUUACGGGACGAAGGUCUGACACAGUCUGACUUACACUUCAGCUGCCAUCUUGUUUUUAAAAAUGGCUGCCCUCCAGGAAAAGUAACAUACCUGUAUUUAGUCAAAGGAGCUUGCAAAGAAAAGCGUCUGGACUUCUUUAAGUUGCUUGAAGACGUUUCACCUCUCAUCCGAGAAGCUUCUUCAGUUCUAAGGUCAAAUGGUGGAGAGUCCCAGAUAUAAACCUAGUGGGACUAACCCCCCACAGAGGGACAAAAGGACCCCCUGAUGAUCCUCUAAAUGCCUGAGCCAAGGUGUGAAACUGGGUGUGGGUCCCAAUCAGCCAGAGUUUCGGGUGAGUUCAUUGUGAAACCUGGCCCCACCUUAUCAUGCGAAUUCCUGAGAUCAGAUGGCCCAGGAUGUGAGUGGGUGUUGGAUAUUCACAGACGUGGACUACAGCUUUCUUGGCUGCUGCCUCAAAGCACAUUGUGCGCUUUCUAUCUUGCGUGCUGCACAUUAUCGUUUAUUAUUUAGUAAGUACUGAUAUCUACUGCUAGCUAGUUUAUUGUGAUGGUGCUUUUUUUUUUAUUAUGUUGCUCUUUGUUGUUUGCUUUCUCUUCUGUUUUUUUUCUCCAUACAGGUGACCCAGGUGUUUUUUUUUUUGUUUGUUUGGUUUUUUUUUUUCUUUCUUCCCCCCGUCUCUUCUCCCCUUUGGUUUUCUUUCUCUCCCUCUCUUUCUUUCAUUCUUUCUCCCUGUCCUAUCCCCCAGUCAUGUCUGUCCCUUUUGUAGCAACUGAAAAUAAAAUAAAUUCAUAAUUAUAAUAAAGGUCAAUCAAAUGGACCAAUAUGGCAAGGCCAUGAUGAUCCACUUGGUAAAAUAAAUCUGCUUGGCAUCUUUCUUAAGGCCAAUUAAGACAACAAUUCUGAUGGCUAUAGAUCCAAACGGGACAAAAAAUAAAUAAAUAAAUAAAAAAGGAUGUGAGUGGGCGUUAACGCAUCUGGGAAGGGAUCUCAAAACUGGAUUAUACAAGUUGGUGUCGUAAACCCCCGCCUCUGUUCAAAGAUGGUCGCUCACAGUGGACAUAGAUGGCUUCUUUCACUCCUCUUUCAAACCAUCUGUCCUCUCUGUCCAAACUGUGAACAUUGGCAUCCUCGAAAGAGUGUCCUUUAUCCUUAAGAUGCAGAUGGACUGCUGAGUCUUGUCCUGUGGAGGUGGCUCUUCUAUGUUGUGCCAUGCGCUUGUGAAGUGGCUGUUUGGUCUCUCCAAUGAAGAGGUCUCGGCAUUCCUCGUUGCACUGUACAGCAUACACCACAUUGUACACUCAUAUGUUUUGGCGUUUUGUCUUUCGGGUGAACCAGUUUUUGUCUGAGCGUGUUGCUGGGUCUGAAAUGCACCAGGAUGUCAUGCUUGGAGAAAACUCUCCUGAGUUUUUCUGAUACACCGGCUACAACGUCUUUGUGAUGGACCGAGCAGUGAAGGAAACUUAGGCACAGGUUAAAGUCCAAAAAAAGAUUUUUUAUUUAACCCAAAAAACAUAAUUGGUUAACUCAUGCAAAAAGAAUCAAAAUCUUGGGCCCAUAAAAGAGGUCAAACUAACAAAACUCUACUCAAAGUUAACAACACAACUGAUAACUCAAACAAACUGACCUAACUUAAUGAGACAAAGGGGAAACUUAAAUAGUGGCUGAU
Long non-coding RNA from Astatotilapia calliptera (eastern happy), 2053 nucleotides. Lineage: Eukaryota; Metazoa; Chordata; Actinopteri; Cichliformes; Cichlidae. The record is from Ensembl.